This 73-nucleotide transfer RNA is filed under the name Callithrix jacchus (white-tufted-ear marmoset). RNAcentral's name for it is "tRNA-Tyr (GTA) (tRNA-Tyr-GTA-6-1)". It matches the Rfam family "tRNA". From Rfam's summary of the family: Transfer RNA (tRNA) molecules are approximately 80 nucleotides in length. Their secondary structure includes four short double-helical elements and three loops (D, anti-codon, and T loops). Lineage: Eukaryota; Metazoa; Chordata; Mammalia; Primates; Cebidae. The record is from RNAcentral.
CCUUUGAUAGCUCAGCUGGUAGAGCAGAGGACUGUAGAUCCUUAGGUCGGUGGUUCGAUUCCGCCUCGAAGAA